CGGCGUGCCUCAGACUGCAAGUCGAACGAUUAUUCUUUCCUUCGCGAAAGAUAUAAAGUGGCGCACGGGUGAGUAACACGUAGGUAAUCUACCUUUGAGUGGGGAAUAACGUUCGGAAACGAACGCUAAUACCGCAUAAUGCAGCGGCACCGCAAGUUGACAGUUGUUAAAGGAGCAAUCCGCUUAAAGAGGAGCCUGCGGCAGAUUAGGUAGUUGGUAAGGUAAUGGCUUACCAAGCCUGCGAUCUGUAACCGACCUGAGAGGGUGGUCGGUCACACUGACACUGAAUAACGGGUCAGACUCCUACGGGAGGCAGCAGUCGGGAAUUUUGGGCAAUGGGCGAAAGCCUGACCCAGCGACGCCGCGUGAAGGAUGAAGUAUUUCGGUAUGUAAACUUCGAAAGAAUGGGAAGAAUAAAUGACGGUACCAUUUAUAAGGUCCGGCUAACUACGUGCCAGCAGCCGCGGUAAUACGUAGGGACCAAGCGUUGAUCGGAUUUACUGGGCGUAAAGGGCGCGUAGGCGGCGUGUUAAGUCAGCUGUGAAAUCUCCGACCUUAACUCGGAACGGUCAGCUGAUACUGAUGUGCUAGAGUGCAAAAGG
RNAcentral lists this ribosomal RNA (602 nucleotides) under uncultured bacterium. Its description in RNAcentral is "bacterial SSU rRNA". It matches the Rfam family "Bacterial small subunit ribosomal RNA", at positions 40 to 655 of the family's 1533-position model. The record is from RNAcentral.